This 165-nucleotide ribosomal RNA is filed under the name uncultured bacterium. RNAcentral's name for it is "partial 16S rRNA". It matches the Rfam family "Bacterial small subunit ribosomal RNA", at positions 355 to 511 of the family's 1533-position model. The record is from RNAcentral.
UAGGGAAUCUUCGGCAAUGGGGGCAACCCUGACCGUAGCAACGCCGCGUGAGUGAAGAAGGUUUUCGGAUCGUAAAACUCUGUUGUUAGAGAAGAACACGAGUGAGAGUAACUGUUCAUUCGAUGACGGUAUCUAACCAGCAAGUCACGGCUAACUACGUGCCAG